RNAcentral lists this ribosomal RNA (303 nucleotides) under Triticum aestivum (bread wheat). RNAcentral's name for it is "partial small subunit ribosomal RNA". Lineage: Eukaryota; Viridiplantae; Streptophyta; Magnoliopsida; Poales; Poaceae. The record is from RNAcentral.
AUGAGGAAAGAGUGGAGGCUUCCAGAAGAAAAGGAGUUCUGGUACACUGGAACAGACUGGCUACAAAUCCUACUGGACAAGUAUGAUUCAGAGAUAAGAAAGAUAAUUCUGCUGUUGUUAUGGAGAGCCUGGUUUCUACGAGAUAACUGUAUCCACAGUGAUGGCAAAGAAACCAUUUCGAGAUCGGUGAUGUUCCUUGUGCAGUAUGAGGAGGAAAUCAGGAAUUUGUCGCUAUCUGUUGUUGGACAGGGAAACAAGAGUUGCUGGUCCCUGUCUGCAUCUAUGCAGACACACCACACCUAG